UCCUAUUGAUGACUGUUCUAUUUCCUAG
Molecule: non-coding RNA, 28 nt
Filed under: Cricetulus griseus (Chinese hamster)
Lineage: Eukaryota; Metazoa; Chordata; Mammalia; Rodentia; Cricetidae
Source: RNAcentral